Ictidomys tridecemlineatus (thirteen-lined ground squirrel) is the source of this 72-nucleotide non-coding RNA. Lineage: Eukaryota; Metazoa; Chordata; Mammalia; Rodentia; Sciuridae. The record is from Rfam.
GGGGGUGUAGCUCAGUGGUAGAGCGCUUGCCUAACAUGGAACAAGUCCUGGGUUCCAUCCUCAGCACCACUU